UACGUAGGGGGCAAGCGUUGUCCGGAUUUAUUGGGCGUAAAGAGCGUGUAGGCGGCCAGGUAGGUCUGCUGUGAAAACUCGAGGCUCAACCUCGAGACGCCGGCGGAAACCAUCUGGCUAGAGUCCGGAAGAGGAGAGUGGAAUUCCUGGUGUAGCGGUGAAAUGCGCAGAUAUCAGGAAGAACACCGGUGGCGAAGGCGGGUCUCUGGGCCGAUACUGACGCUGAGGAGCGAAAGCGUGGGGAGCGAACAGG
This 253-nucleotide ribosomal RNA is filed under the name uncultured bacterium. Its description in RNAcentral is "partial 16S ribosomal RNA". It matches the Rfam family "Bacterial small subunit ribosomal RNA", at positions 524 to 776 of the family's 1533-position model. The record is from RNAcentral.